UCAUAGAAUUUCUUAAAAUUCAUGAUGUCGUAAGGGAAAAUAAUGAUAUUACCUUACUAUGAGUGUCGUCCAAAUCUGGUGCCAGAAGACUCGGUAAGACCAGAGACGCAAACGUUAAUCAUCCUAAACAGGCGUAAAGGGUUUGUAGGCAGCACCCAUAAGAUUACUAUUGCAAAAUUUAUAAAGUAAUCUGAUUGGGUGCUAGAAUCAAAAAGAGGUUAUAGUGUAUAACGCCUAGAGGAGGGCUGAUAUCCAUAGAUCCUAGGCAGAAUACUAAAGGCGAAGGCCACUCUCCACUAAUGAUUGACGCUGAGAAACGAAGGUUAGGGUAGGAAAUAGGAUUAGAUACCCCGGUACUCCUUUCUGUAAACGAUGAAUGGUAGUCAUUAGUAAAAGUAAAAUUACUAGAGACGAAGUUAACACAAUAACCAUUCCGCCUUGUGAGUACUACUGCAAAGUAGAAAACAAAAAAAUUAGUCGGUCUCGAAGCAAACGGAGUGAAGCAUGUUAUUUA
RNAcentral lists this ribosomal RNA (514 nucleotides) under Amauroderma subresinosum. Its description in RNAcentral is "SSU rRNA". It matches the Rfam family "Bacterial small subunit ribosomal RNA", at positions 406 to 948 of the family's 1533-position model. The record is from RNAcentral. Lineage: Eukaryota; Fungi; Basidiomycota; Agaricomycetes; Polyporales; Polyporaceae.